UACGAAGGGUGCAAGCGUUACUCGGAAUUACUGGGCGUAAAGCGUGCGUAGGUGGUUCGUUAAGUCUGAUGUGAAAGCCCUGGGCUCAACCUGGGAAUGGCAUUGGAAACUGGCGACCUAGAGUGCGGUAGAGGGUAGUGGAAUUCCCGGUGUAGCAGUGAAAUGCGUAGAGAUCGGGAGGAACAUCCGUGGCGAAGGCGACUACCUGGACCAGCACUAACACUGAGGCACGAAAGCGUGGGGAGCAAACAGG
This 253-nucleotide ribosomal RNA is filed under the name uncultured bacterium. RNAcentral describes it as "partial 16S ribosomal RNA". It matches the Rfam family "Bacterial small subunit ribosomal RNA", at positions 524 to 776 of the family's 1533-position model. The record is from RNAcentral.